RNAcentral lists this long non-coding RNA (635 nucleotides) under Androctonus crassicauda. Lineage: Eukaryota; Metazoa; Arthropoda; Arachnida; Scorpiones; Buthidae. The record is from RNAcentral.
GUCAAAAAAAAAAAAAAAAAAAAAAUGUUGAGUAGUAAUUUUCUUAAUUCACACUUCAAUUGAAACUUUUCAGGAAUUUUUGGGCUCUAUGGGCCGGUUGUAUAAACGAAGACUAAUUUAAACCGGCACUAAGCAAGAAACCUGUUUUAGCCUUGGUCUGCUUGUGCCAAGUCUAAAUUUGGCUUGUUUAAACUAAGAUUAAGUAUUGGUCUAAGCGAACUUUUUUUAGUCAUAGGCUAUUCCAGUAUUUGUUUGGCUUCCCCAGUAACAGCCAAUCAGAGAGAGGCUGAGUCAUUUAUGUCACUUCCAUCAAAAGCCAGUAUUAAUGAAAAAUGGCGACGGUAGCAGGUAAAAGCAAAUUUGGUGUUAAAAUUUUUUCCGAAAAAGAUAAACCUGAUAAAGCAGCAUUAGUUAAAUUAACAAAAAUUCAUCUCAAACUAGAAGAUAGAGAAUUCAAUUCUGUAUCAGUCCUUAAAAAACGAGAAGCCUGGAAAAGGAUACAGUUAGAAUUUUUGUGGUUUUUUCGUACCAUAUCAUUUUUAAUCCCAUCUAAAAGUGUCGUAUUUUUAUAUGGGAAAAAAAAUCAUAUUGUAUGAUUUAGUAAAUUUAGUGAGUGUGUCUUUAUAAGCAGUAGC